Molecule: non-coding RNA, 1545 nt
Organism: Camellia sinensis
Lineage: Eukaryota; Viridiplantae; Streptophyta; Magnoliopsida; Ericales; Theaceae
Source: RefSeq, a predicted model, not a curated record
ACCUUUAUAUUGUUCAUGCAUUGUGCUUUAUGUUUGAUAUUUGUUGAUUCACACAGCUGAUCGUUUCCUGCAAUUGUGGGUUUAUGCUUAUUUCUCGGCCCUUGCCCCAAAGCUGAUGGACGAGAUUGCCUUGGUCGUGCCCUAUUCAUGGUAGUAUGAUGGUAGGUGCCGCCGCCAGAGCCGCAAGGACAUGACUUUUGCCUUCUAUCAUUGCUACUUCAACACAGUGGUUGCCCGCGAGAUCACCUGGCAACCAUAGGUGAUGAUGCCAGCCAGAGUUAGGGACCAGUACGCCGGAGCCUAAGCUAUUUCCUGAUAUCAGAUCUUGUUGGAGGGCCCAUUCUACUGAGCUUGGUUCUUGGGAGAGCGGUUUGUACGCUAGACACUGGGCUUGCUCACCCUGGUUGUUCCUAUGUUGCCUCUAGCAUCCAUGAGGAUAGCUAAUAGUCUCUCAGUUGAGGCCAUUAUUCAGUAUAUGGUGGGGUUAGAUGCCGACUACUUCUAAGGGGAGGGUGACUACACGACCUUCAUCUAGACUCAUCUUAUGCCACCCUUGAUUGGAGUUCGCGUCGGCAGUGUAGCGGGUGCUCCCUUGAUCGGAGAGGUUGCUUAAGGGGCUGCUGCUGGUAUUGGAGAGGCUCCGUCUACUUUCUGUUGGCUAGCGAUUCCUACCAUGAUUCUUUGCAGGCUGCCAAGCGGGAUGACCUAUCAGCUCCUAAUAAAGCCACCGGAGGCGGGGCACGGGUAUGUCAGAGCCUCGGGCAGACCUCAGCACCCACAAAGUAUACAGAGGGCCUUCUUCAGCUGGUUCCCUCCUUGGUUCAGUGGUGCAGAUGAGGGAGAUAUUGCUCACUCUUCGCAGUAUCCAGGUAUACUUCCAUUCCCCUUAUGCGUUGCAUUGCUUCCCACACUAUACUGAUAUGCCAUAUUCCCACUGAUACAUGAUAUUCAUACUUUCCACCUACGCCGAGGGCACCAGCGGUAGCGGCAACACUAGUGGCAUCUCUUUCAGUGAUAGGGAGGAGAGGUAGACGGGCCCCAGCAUGCAGCCAAGAUGAGCGUCGAGGCCAAGGUAGAGGUAGACGUACUCGGAAUCGAAGCAGCUCGGAGCCAGUUUUGAGUGAGGAUGAUACUAAGACCAGCGACUCUGAGGAGGCAGUGAGCCGACACUCUGAGUCUGAGAGCGAGACGAUGAUGUGAACUCUAGAUCAGAGAGCAAGGAGGACGCUGAGGCUGGUUUUGAGUCAAGAAGCGGAGAUGAUGAUACUGGCUCCGGUUUGAAGUCUGAUUCUGAUAGUGGCGCCGAUGAAGACAGUGCCCAUGAGUCCCCUUCGAGGAAGAAGACGAAGAGGGCCUCUCGAGCUUGAUGCGACUGGCACAGAUUUUUGUACUCUUUUGCUUAGUUUCUUUUUGUUUUGGUAGCUUACACAUGCAUAGCUUCAGAUAGGUAUUUACUCUUGCUUUUGAACAGACUUGUACUCUCUUUUGUAAAAAACUUUGAUUGGGGGAAAACCCUGAAGUUUAUAAAAGAGUUAUUGUUUUAUU